RNAcentral lists this ribosomal RNA (261 nucleotides) under unidentified marine bacterioplankton. RNAcentral's name for it is "partial 16S ribosomal RNA". It matches the Rfam family "Bacterial small subunit ribosomal RNA", at positions 73 to 339 of the family's 1533-position model. The record is from RNAcentral.
AAACAGCUUGCUGUUCGCUGACGAGUGGCGGACGGUGAGUAAUGUCUGGGAAACUGCCUGAUGGAGGGGAUAACUACUGGAAACGGUAGCUAAUACUGCAUAACGUCGCAAGACCAAAGAGGGGACCUUCGGGCCUCUUGCCAUCGGAUGUGCCUAGAUGGGAUUAGCUAGUAGGUGGGUAACGGCUCACCUAGGCGACGAUCCCUAGCUGGUCUGAGAGGAUGACCAGCCACACUGGAACUGAGACACGGUCCAGACUCC